CUCCUGAUCUCACGUGAUCCACCUGCCUCGGCCUCCCAAAGAGUGUUUUUACAGGCUCCAUUCCUUAUUCCUGGAGUCAUCUUAGGGAAAUUUUCUGACAUUUUAUUGCCUUAGAACUCUCAUCUGUAAAGUAGAGAGAAAGAUGCCUCACUUGCUUGCUGAGGACUAAUGAGAUACAAUUUUGAGAAUUCAUUUUUUUCAUCCCAAUGAUUUUCACCAACCAUGAUCAUGCUAAAUUUGUCUCACUCAAAACCAGGCAUAAUGUAAUGCUGUUAAGAACAUAUUAUUCUAAUAUUCGGUCCAGAAUUCCUCUCUGUGAACCGUUUCUGUUUAGAAUCUGUGUUCAUAAAUGCUGGGAGUGUGUCAGCUGGUGACUUCAGAGGAAAGGGGAACCACUACACAUGAGGUAAAAGGAGGAAUGUGUUGUUUUGCUACUGAGAAGGACUGGGGAGGGGAGUGGAAUAAAAGGUGGGAGCAGAGAAGAGACAGGCCAGCAAAAUCAAAAAGCAGGUGCUGCAGAGAAAGAGCCAGGAGAGAAACUUCUGGUGGUGAGUGAUAAAAAUGGACUUGGGGGACAGGACAAUAUAAUAAGUGAUGAGCUUUUGCCCCCCGUCUCUCCAGUCAUCAGGAAAGUCUAUUGUGCUUAUAAAUGCUUUGUUUCAAUUUUCAGCAAACACAGUAAAGGAGCUGUUUUAUAUCUGGUAGCACCUCAUGUUGACCCCAAUAUAAACGAGAAACAAGAGCCCAAGAAGCAGAGGAAGUUAGGAGAUAGUAAGCUGUCCAGAAAUUAGCCAACGACUGUGGAAUGGCUCUAGACUUCUGUAGCAAAUGGAAAUAUGAGUCUUGGCAGCUCUUUGGGGGAUGGAAGAAGACCAUGAAGCUCUAAGUGCUUCAGAGGAAUGGGGUUGCCAAAACAGAUGUGAGAGGCCCAGAGAGGAGGCUGGGCCAAUGCUGAAGGGUAUUAUUUUGGGGCUGAGUGCAGAAAUAAGAGAUGCGUGCUAAAAGGUCAUCGGUUUAGAACCAGCCCUAGAUCUCCUGGGAUCCUGCCCAGCUGAAUCUUCCUCCUUGUAACAUGGGCUUUGGGAAUUUGUGAGAGAUUUAAAUAAAGAUUUACUAAAGCAAUGUCUUCAAAGAGGUGUUUAAGAAGGAGAGGUUGGUCGGAACCAGAAAAUGCAUUCCUGGGAUGAUCUUUGGGAUACACCCAACUGACCCUCUGAAAAGGCACAACAUUUGUCAACUCAACACUCUUCAGACUUUAUCAAUAACAAAAAGUUGCUAAUGCUUGAUGAGAUGAUGAGUGAGAAGGUGGGAGGCAGAAGCAGCCAACAGAGAAGACAAAGGAUCUAAGAAAAUGAGAGAGAAAGAAAGGAGAAAAAUAUGUAGAAAUUUCAAGUUGAUGAUAACAUUCUAAGACCAGAUGAACACUUACUUUAUUUUCUGGAAAAGAAUCAUUGACCUCAUGAAACACAUUGUGAAUGUGUUUUUUUCUUCCUGACUCAACCUAUGAACAGGACAUUGAAUUCAAGAUUGACUACAAAGUUAAUAAUUACAUAAAAUUAUAUAAAAUAAAAGUACGAAGGCAAUAAUAAUAUAAGUAAAUAUAAGAUAACUAUGUAUAACUAUAUGUACAACUAUAUAUACAUAGUUUGUAACUAUGUCUACAAGCUGAGAACAGUCUGGUAGUAAAGAUGUGCCAAUAUAAGAAAGUUCUAUUUGAUGUUGACCAUGACAAGGCACACUUCAUCCCGAAGGCAUUUUUGACGGUAAAUCUAAACAGCCUGUUUUCUUUUUCAAAGAGUUUACUGGUGAGCAGCCAGACAUUUGAAAAUAGUUUCUGUUUUUCCACAGCUUGAAGAUCGAAUCAGAAAAAGUAGUACAAUCAUUUU
Molecule: long non-coding RNA, 1886 nt
Filed under: Homo sapiens (human)
Lineage: Eukaryota; Metazoa; Chordata; Mammalia; Primates; Hominidae
Description: HSALNT0323688
Source: RNAcentral